RNAcentral lists this small nucleolar RNA (138 nucleotides) under Ornithorhynchus anatinus (platypus). Lineage: Eukaryota; Metazoa; Chordata; Mammalia; Monotremata; Ornithorhynchidae. The record is from RNAcentral.
CCCCUCUCAGGGUUGCACCUGAAGAGUUUCCAGAAUUCUACCAGACUCGACUACAGGAGGGAGAGUCAAGCAGAGGCCUACCUAGUCCAUCCCUAGCUUGGGCAGUGGCUAGCGAGUGGAAGGCAAUCUGCUACAAGU